UACAGAGGUGGCAAGCGUUGUUCGGAAUUACUGGGCGUAAAGGGCGCGUAGGCGGCCUUCUAAGUCAGACGUGAAAUCCCCAGGCUUAACUUGGGAACUGCGUCUGAUACUGGGAGGCUUGAGUGCGGGAGAGGGAUGUGGAAUUCCAGGUGUAGCGGUGAAAUGCGUAGAUAUCUGGAGGAACACCGGUGGCGAAGGCGGCAUCCCGGACCGACACUGACGCUGAGGCGCGAAAGCUAGGGGAGCAAACGGG
This 253-nucleotide ribosomal RNA is filed under the name uncultured bacterium. RNAcentral's name for it is "partial 16S ribosomal RNA". It matches the Rfam family "Bacterial small subunit ribosomal RNA", at positions 524 to 776 of the family's 1533-position model. The record is from RNAcentral.